AAUAGGCAGAGGUAAUACUCCUCAAAUCACGAAUUUUACUCCCACUCUUUGUGACUGGUUGCUUUCGUCUCUUCGCCUCUCCAUCUCGUCGCCUUCCACCACUGACCACCAACCUUCGAUAUUCGAGCUCGAGCUCUAGAUACAGGUCAUGCAGCACCUUUGAGCCCUUGAACCUCUCGAGACACGAUAGCCAGUAGCAGUCCUUUGAGUCUACAUUUCCACCAACAAUUUGAUAGUAGAAGAAGAAGGACUUGUAAUCCGUUGGAGAUUGUUACUAAUUCUUUGGCUUACUACUGGACUAUUGCAUAAAAAAAGACUUGCAAUUGUUGAAAGCAAUGAGGGUUGGGGUGAGCAGCACAUGACACUAAAGUUUGGUACAAGGGCAUCCUGAAAUAUGAUUAAUUUCAAUAUGAAUUAUAUAAAGAGAAGUUGGUUAUGUUUUUCAAUAGCAUGCUUGCAUUUUUUACAUUAUGUAUUCAAGUGUAUAAGAGAAAAUAGUCAUACUUCACAUUAUGUAUUCAAAAAUUUGUAAUGAAAUUAUCAAUUUUUGUACAAUUCCAAAAUUUGUCAUUUUCAA
Long non-coding RNA from Olea europaea var. sylvestris, 577 nucleotides. RefSeq lists it as uncharacterized. The transcript is spliced from 2 exons. NCBI's taxonomy places the organism in Eukaryota, Viridiplantae, Streptophyta, Magnoliopsida, Lamiales, Oleaceae. The record is from RefSeq and is a predicted model, not a curated record.